GAUGAACGCUGGCGGCGUGCCUAAUACAUGCAAGUCGAGCGAACAGACGAGGAGCUUGCUCCUCUGACGUUAGCGGCGGACGGGUGAGUAACACGUGGAUAACCUACCUAUAAGACUGGGAUAACUUCGGGAAACCGGAGCUAAUACCGUAUAAUAUAUUGAACCGCAUGGUUCAAUAGUGAAAGACGGUUUUGCUGUCACUUAUAGAUGGAUCCGCGCCGCAUUGGCUAGUUGGUAAGGUAACGGCUUACCAAGGCAACGAGGCGUAGCCGACCUGAGAGGCUGAUCGGCCACACUGGAACUGAGACACGGUCCAGACUACUACGGGAGGCAGCAGUAGGGAAUCUUCCGCAAUAGGCGAGAGCCUGACGCAGCAACGCCGCGUGAGUGAUGAAGGUCUUCGGAUCGUAAAACUCUGUUAUUAGGGAAGAACAAAUGUGUAAGUAACUAUGCACGUCUUGACGGUACCUAAUCAGAAAGCCACGGCUAACUACGUG
This 497-nucleotide ribosomal RNA is filed under the name uncultured bacterium. RNAcentral describes it as "partial 16S ribosomal RNA". It matches the Rfam family "Bacterial small subunit ribosomal RNA", at positions 28 to 507 of the family's 1533-position model. The record is from RNAcentral.